RNAcentral lists this long non-coding RNA (759 nucleotides) under Carica papaya (papaya). RNAcentral's name for it is "long non-coding RNA (CPAP_LNC006714)". Lineage: Eukaryota; Viridiplantae; Streptophyta; Magnoliopsida; Brassicales; Caricaceae. The record is from RNAcentral.
AGGUCCUAUGGCAGAAUUAUACGCAGGAAGAUGCCACUUGGGAACUGAAAUCAAGCUUCAGGGCCUGAUACCCCUAGCUGUUCAACUGAGUGAGAAAGUGCCAAUUUGAGGACUAAAUUUUCUUAAGGGAAGAGAGUUGUAAUACCAAUUUGAGGGACUAAUUUGAGGACUCGAGAUAAAUUUUUUCUCUCCAAUUUUUAAUUUAAAAUAUUUGAUUAUUUUAUUUUAUUUUUAUUUAAAUAAAAUUUUGAGAAAAAAUGAAUUAGAAACGAGAUUAAAAAUAAUUUUAGAAAAAACGAGGUAACAAUUUGGGUUAUGAGGGUAUUUUUAAAAGAAAAAAUAGAAAGAGAUUGUCAAAGUACAAAUAGAGAAAGUUCAAUUAUGUAGGACUGCUCAGUCAGCACCCUCGACGAACUGGAGCGCGCCUCGUGGUAAGGUGCUGUGAUAUCGGUGCCAUGUGGGAGGCCACGCUAGCAAUCUGUGUGCCCCACGAUCGGACCGCCCAGGUUUAAUCCCGCGCACGUGGGCGACUGGAUCUGUUUCCCCCUUAGGCACGAUCAAAAGGUUGAGAUUAAUCGCAAUGAACGGUUCAGAUUUGUUUCUUUUUUAGGUGCGAUCAGACAGAUGAGAUCGAUCAUGAUGGUAAUCUAAAUCAACGCGGAGUGGUUAUAAAUACUUCACAUAACACGGGAACCUAAACCCUACCGCCAACCCCCGCGAGAGAAGAAGAAUCAUACGAGAAAGAAAGAGAUUGACCAC